GACGAACGCUGGCGGCGUGCCUAAUACAUGCAAGUCGAACGCUGAAGGAGGAGCUUGCUCUUCUGGAUGAGUUGCGAACGGGUGAGUAACGCGUAGGUAACCUGCCUGGUAGCGGGGGAUAACUAUUGGAAACGAUAGCUAAUACCGCAUAAGAGUAGAUGUUGCAUGACAUUUACUUAAAAGGUGCAAUUGAAUCACUACCAGAUGGACCUGCGUUGUAUUAGCUAGUUGGUGGGGUAACGGCUUACCAAGGCGACGAUACAUAGCCGACCUGAGAGGGUGAUCGGCCACACUGGGACUGAGACACGGCCCAGACUCCUACGGGAGGCAGCAGUAGGGAAUCUUCGGCAAUGGACGGAAGUCUGACCGAGAAACGCCGCGUGAGUGAAGAAGGUUUUCGGAUCGUAAAGCUCUGUUGUAAGAGAAGAACGAGUGUGAGAGUGGAAAGUUCACACUGUGACGGUAUCUUACCAGAAAGGGACGGCUAACUACGUG
RNAcentral lists this ribosomal RNA (495 nucleotides) under uncultured bacterium. Its description in RNAcentral is "partial 16S ribosomal RNA". It matches the Rfam family "Bacterial small subunit ribosomal RNA", at positions 28 to 507 of the family's 1533-position model. The record is from RNAcentral.